UACAGAGGCCUCGAGCGUUAGGCGGAAUUACUGGGCUUAAAGCGUGUGUAGGCGGACUUCUAAGUGCCUUGUGAAAUCCCACGGCUCACCCGUGGAACUGCUGGGCAUACUGGGAGUCUUGAGCCACCUAGGGGCGAGCGGAACAAAUGGUGGAGCGGUGAAAUGCGUAGAUAUCAUUUGGAACGCCAACGGAGAAAUCAGCUCGCUGGGGGUGUGCUGACGCUGAGACACGAAAGCCAGGGGAGCGAACGGG
Molecule: ribosomal RNA, 253 nt
Filed under: uncultured bacterium
Lineage: Bacteria
Description: partial 16S ribosomal RNA
Rfam family: Bacterial small subunit ribosomal RNA
Source: RNAcentral